RNAcentral lists this transfer RNA (74 nucleotides) under Candidatus Kaiserbacteria bacterium. Its description in RNAcentral is "tRNA-Trp". It matches the Rfam family "tRNA". Rfam says of the family: Transfer RNA (tRNA) molecules are approximately 80 nucleotides in length. Their secondary structure includes four short double-helical elements and three loops (D, anti-codon, and T loops). The record is from RNAcentral. Lineage: Bacteria; Candidatus Kaiseribacteriota.
GGGCGAUUAGUUUAGUGGUAGAACGGAGGUCUCCAAAACCUCUAGCGGGGGUUCGAUUCCCUCAUCGCCCGCCA